GCUAUUAUUGGAGCAAAACCAUUCGUUAGUCCUUUUGCUAACUCUGGAUAAUACUGCUUAUCGCACGGUCUCGUACCGGCGAAGUUUCUUUCAAGUAUCUGCCCUAUCAACUGUCGUUGGUAGUGUAUUGGACUACCAUGGUGCUAACGGGUAACGGAGGAUCAGGGUCUGACUCCGGAGAGGGAGCCUUAGAAACGGCUACCAUGUCUAAGGAUAGCAGCAGGCGCGAAAAUUACCCACUGUCAACACGACGAGGUAGUGACGAGAAAUAACGAGACCGUUCUCUAUGAGGUCGGUCAUUGGAAUGGGUACAAUCUAGACAAUUUAACGAGUACCUACAGGAGGGCAAGUCUGGUGCCAGCAGCCGCGGUAAUUCCAGCUCCUGUAAUGUAUAGAAUUAUUGUUGCGGUUAAAAAGUUCGUAGUUGGAUUGUCGAACCGUCUCGGGUCCACCUUAACGGGUGGUUACUCGUGGGCGGUAUUUUACGCGUUUGUAUGCAAUUGGCUAGUCUGAUUGUAUGCUGCGCGUAGGAUUACUUUGAACGGCUUAAGUGCUCAAGGCGAGUCUUACGACUGAAUACCGGUGCAUGGAAUAAUGGAACAAGGUUUCGGCCGAGUUUUAUUGGUUUUGUCGGCUAAAACAAUGGUUAACAGGAACAGCCGGGGGCAUUCGUAUCGCUGCGCGAGAGGUGAAAUUCGUGGACCGUAGCGAGACGCACUAAAGCGAAGGCAUUUGCCAAGAGUGUUUUCAUUAAUCAAGAACGAAAGUCAGAGGUUCGAAGGCGAUUAGAUACCGCCCUAGUUCUGACCGUAAAUGAUGCCAACUGACAAUCCGCUCGUGGAUUUUUUUCAUGAGCGGGCGGUCUUCCGGAAACGAAAGUUUUUCGGUUCCGGGGGAAGUAUGGUUGCAAAGCUGAAACUUAAAGGAAUUGACGGAAGGGCACCACCAGGAGUGGAGCUUGCGGCUUAAUUUGACUCAACACGGGAAACCUCACCCGGCCAGUACAUCGUGAGGAUUGACAGACCGAUAGCUCUUUCAUGAUUCGGUGAAUGGUGGUGCAUGGCCGUUCUUAGUUCGUGGAUCGAUUUGUCUGGUUUAUUCCGAUAACGAGCGAGACGCCAACUGUUAACUAGUGCACGAAUUACUUCGGUUGUUCGUGAUCACUUCUUAAAGGGAUUUGUGGUUACUAGCCUCAAGAAAUGGCGCAAUAACAGGUCUGUGAUGCCCUUAGAUGUUCGGGGCCGCACGCGUGCUACAAUGGUGGUAUCAGCGUGAUUGUCCUACUCCGAUAGGAGAUGGCAAACAGUUGAGAUAUUAUUAUGGCUGGAAUUGAGUGUUGAAAUUUUCACUCAUGAACGAGGAAUUCCAAGUAAAUGCGUGUCAUCAACAUGCAUUGAUUACGUCCCUGCCCUUUGUACACACCGCCCGUCGCUCCCCGGGACUGAGUUGUUUCGAGAAAGCCACAGACCGGUGGCAUUUCAUGUUUCGGCAUGAUUGUCGCUGGAAAGUGGUUUAAUCGCAACGGCUUGAACCGGGGAAAAGUCGUA
RNAcentral lists this ribosomal RNA (1547 nucleotides) under Laimaphelenchus picea. RNAcentral's name for it is "SSU rRNA". It matches the Rfam family "Eukaryotic small subunit ribosomal RNA", at positions 203 to 1793 of the family's 1831-position model. Lineage: Eukaryota; Metazoa; Nematoda; Chromadorea; Rhabditida; Aphelenchoididae. The record is from RNAcentral.